GAUGCGGUGUCCCGGCCAUGGCCGGGGUGAAAAGGGAAUGAGGUGAGAAUCCUCAGCAGGGCCGCUGCUGUAUGGGCGGAUGGGUGUGAUCGGUCAGGGCCACUGAGCAGGAGCUCGGGAAGGCCUUGCCCAAAAAGAAAUGCCGGAAAGAGUCGGAAGGGGACUCCGCUGCCUGAGCCAGAAGACCUGCCGCAUUU
This 197-nucleotide non-coding RNA is filed under the name uncultured Eisenbergiella sp. Lineage: Bacteria; Bacillati; Bacillota; Clostridia; Lachnospirales; Lachnospiraceae. The record is from RNAcentral.